Molecule: ribosomal RNA, 465 nt
Filed under: uncultured Veillonellaceae bacterium
Lineage: Bacteria; Bacillati; Bacillota; Negativicutes; Veillonellales; Veillonellaceae
Description: bacterial SSU rRNA
Rfam family: Bacterial small subunit ribosomal RNA
Source: RNAcentral
CCUACGGGCGGCAGCAGUGGGGAAUCUUCCGCAAUGGACGAAAGUCUGACGGAGCGACGCCGCGUGAGUGAUGAAGGCCCUUGGGUCGUAAAGCUCUGUCAUUGGGGACGAACGAUUACGUCAGGAAAUGGGCGUGAAGUGACGGUACCCAAGAAGGAAGCCACGGCUAACUACGUGCCAGCAGCCGCGGUAAUACGUAGGUGGCAAGCGUUGUCCGGAAUUAGUGGGCGUAAAGCGCGCGCAGGUGGGAUCUUAAGUCCAUUUUGAAAGUUCGGAGCUCAACUCCGUGAGGGGAUGGAAACUGGGAUUCUUGAGUAUCGGAGAGGAAAGCGGAAUUCCCCGUGUAGCGGUGAAAUGCGUAGAUAUGGGGAGGAACACCAGUGGCGAAGGCGGCUUUCUGGACGAUGUCUGACACUGAGGCGCGAAAGCCAGGGGAGCGAACGGGAUUAGAUACCCCGGUAGUCA